This 687-nucleotide long non-coding RNA is filed under the name Elaeis guineensis (African oil palm). Its description in RNAcentral is "long non-coding RNA (EGUI_LNC079966)". The record is from RNAcentral. Lineage: Eukaryota; Viridiplantae; Streptophyta; Magnoliopsida; Arecales; Arecaceae.
ACUUUAAAAAUAAAUAAGGCUCACACUAUUUUCUUGAAUCUCCCAUACUCCUCUGGUGGAGAAAUGAAAACCUACAUGCGAUCGAUUUCAAGUGGAUACUAUAAUCCCACUGAUUUAUAUGCACCUCACCUAACAGUUAUUGGUUAGCACAGAUUAAUAAGUGGAUAAUACCUUAUCCAUUGCUUCACUAAGCAAGAUACAGCAGGUUCAAUCUCUAAGUCCUGUGAUCUCACCUAACAGUUAUUGGCACAUUUCUUAGUUAAGUCAGAUCCAUUGUUCACCAGCAGACACAGCCAUCAUUAGAUCGCUCACCUAACAGUUAUUGGGCCCAACCCUAUUUUUAUCCCAAGACAUCUAAUGCUAAUAGAGUGGUUGUACCUUUCUGAUGCAAUUGAACCACUGUAACCAGUCGAGAACAAUCAACAUCAGGAAGGCACCCGCAUCUCUGUAAUGGUGGAAGACUGCUAGAUUUAAUAUUUAGUGAGAAGAUUUAGAUCUCUUCUAAGUUAGCAGAUCUGACUGACCAAGUUUAGAUUAACAUAAUCACAUGUCUAACUAACCUAGUCGGCAUGGGUGAACUCGAAUCAAUACGUAAUCUAAUAUAAAAUUUAAUCUCCUAAAAUGGCCAGAUAGUUAAGAUGAGUGGGGGUUCUCUCAUUGCUUUCCUUAGAUACCAAUGAAUUAGCU